AUUGAACGCUGGCGGCAGGCCUAACACAUGCAAGUCGAGCGGCAGCGGGACCUUCGGGUUGCCGGCGAGCGGCGGACGGGUGAGUAAUGCCUAGGAAUCUGCCUGUUAGUGGGGGAUAACGCGGGGAAACUCGCGCUAAUACCGCAUACGUCCUACGGGAGAAAGCGGGGGCUCUUCGGGCCUCGCGCUAACAGAUGAGCCUAGGUCGGAUUAGGUAGUUGGUGGGGUAAUGGCCCACCAAGGCGACGAUCCGUAACUGGUCUGAGAGGAUGAUCAGCCACACUGGAACUGAGACACGGUCCAGACUCCUACGGGAGGCAGCAGUGGGGAAUAUUGGACAAUGGGCGAAAGCCUGAUCCAGCCAUGCCGCGUGUGUGAAGAAGGUCUUCGGAUUGUAAAGCACUUUAAGUCGGGAGGAAGGGCUGUAGGCUAAUACCUUGCAGUUUUGACGUUACCGACAGAAUAAGCACCGGCUAACUUCGUGCCAGCCGCCGCCGUAA
RNAcentral lists this ribosomal RNA (500 nucleotides) under uncultured bacterium. RNAcentral's name for it is "partial 16S ribosomal RNA". It matches the Rfam family "Bacterial small subunit ribosomal RNA", at positions 30 to 523 of the family's 1533-position model. The record is from RNAcentral.